Leopardus geoffroyi (Geoffroy's cat) is the source of this 7679-nucleotide long non-coding RNA. RefSeq lists it as uncharacterized. The transcript has 7 exons. The record is from RefSeq and is a predicted model, not a curated record. NCBI's taxonomy places the organism in Eukaryota, Metazoa, Chordata, Mammalia, Carnivora, Felidae.
GACCUGAGCUGAAAUCAAGAGUCAGACACUUAACAAACUGAGCCACCCAGGAACCCCUAAAUUUUUGAGAUUAGUUAAAAUCUAUAGUUAGUGCAACCAUCAUAUGUGCAUUUCUCUAGUUCAGAGGCAUAUUUAUUUUCUUCAGUGUUAAGUUCAUGGAAAGAGAAUGCCUCUCUGUUAAUCAUUGUAUACUGCCACACAUCUGCAUUAUGAUACUCUAAUAAUUUUUUUGAGUCCCUAUGAUGGACUGGAUACUCUGCUGGUGUUCUAUGAAGUUCUAAAAGCAGUCUAUUUUUAUAGGUUAGGAAACUGAGGGUCACAAGAGGCUAAGAAACUUUCCCUCAAACCUUACAGGUAUGCAAGAGUGAGAGUUGGGAUUCACAGCCAGUUCUUUCUGGCUCUUUUCACUGUGUCCCUCAGCCUCCCAUACUUUGUUUUUGAUGUUUUGUUUGAAAUUACUAAAAUGGAAAAUGGCAUGAAAGGUGGAAGAAGAUACUGUUUUCUUUUUAGUUCUUUUUUGGGAAACUAAUGUCAUCUAUUCCCUGAGCCUUACAUUUAUUUUAAUUGUGUCGAGGAUUUGGUUAGUAUCUAUGUCUGCAAUCAAAGAAAACGCAAUGGAAAAAUUCUGAAAAGAUGAGGAUGUAAGUUGCAUAUUUCCAAGUGAAGUAGGCCAAUCUGGAAAGACUACAACCCAAAUGAUUCCAACUAUAUGACAUUCUAGAAAAAGCAAAAUUAUGGAGACAGAAAAUGAUCAGUGGUUGCCAGGGGCAAGUGGGGGAGGAAGGGGUGAACAGGCAGGUAAUUUUUAGGGCAGUGAAAUUGCUCUGUAUGAUAAUAUUAUGGUAGAUUCAUGUCAUUAUGCAUUUGUCAAAAUCUAUAAAAUGUACAAUACAAGAGUAAGCUCCAAUGUAAACUACAGACUUCGGAUGAUAAUGAUAUAACAAUACAGGUUCAUAAAUUGUGACAAAUGAACCAUUCUGGUGGGGAUGUUGAUAAAGGGUGAGGUUCUGCAUAUAUAGGGACAGGAGGUAUAUGGGAACUCUCUGUACCUUCUGCUCAAUUUUGCUGUGAACCCAAAACUGCUCUAAAAAUAGAAGUUAUUUUUAAAAAGUGCAGUGGAAAGUAGCAAGAGGAAGUGGGUGUUCUUUGGAAAUGUUGCCUGCUCCCUCUUUGAAUAGAUGUAGCACAUUCAGUUACACAAUCACUUCUCUACCCUCACGAGCUUCCUUUCUCUUCUUCCACUCACCCAUCCUCAUCCAUUUUCUUCACAAAACCUUCAGCAGAGAGUAAAGCAUCUUUGUGUGCGUUUGUGUGUUGAUCUGCGGUUGUGGAAAGGAAGGGAAAUAUGAUUAGUGUUUGGUCUGAAUAAAGAAAGAAUCGUUCUGGUUUCUCCCCUCUCUCCACGUCAAGGUUGCCUUGGUAGAAUUGGAGAUCGUGAGGAUGAAUUGGAGGGGCUAGUAGAAUAAAAAUAAAAUUCUUGAAAUAAUUGUGAAGAGCUACUUUCUUGUCACCUGGUAUUUUUCUAUCUCAUAGUAUCUGUUAUAUUUCAUAAGCAUUAAUCAUCAAGAAAUACAACUCCUAGGAAGGUUUUUUUUUUAAUCCCCCAAAUAACUCAGUCCUAGAAUUUAAAGGCUCUAUAUGACAUUUUAUAUGUCAAAGAUUGCAGCUUCAAAAAUCCAUCAAAUCAGACAGCUCACACUGUUACUGGAAAGGAACAUUCGAAUAUGUGAGCAAGCUUAAUGGCCUCUGCUGCCUUUUAAGAAUAUAAAUGGACAGUUCUUCACAUGCACAGUGCUAAAAUUAAAUUAGCAGCAUGGGAUGGCAAAUGGGAAAAUAAUGACAUGAAACACCCAGGGUGCCUGCUACUUGCUCAGUGGGGAGGUGAAGACUCCAUAGGAGGCAGAAAGAAAAAAAAUAGGCUGGGCCAUCUAGAGCAUGUUCUAUGGUUGGCAUGGGCGAGGCAGUUGGGCAGUGCUGACAGCUGGCCUGCAAGUUGAAGAGGAUGGGAGAGUAGGAGGAACAGGCAGGCUUGACUUCAAGCUGUUUUGUGUGCAUAUGGCCACAAGCUGGCUCCCUGUCAAUCUACUGCCCACACCCUCCUCUCUUCAUCCUGAGUAAGUAUCCAUUUUGGAAUGUAGUCUGUCAGCCAAAGCCACUGGACAUUAAGUAGUUGAUCUGCUCAGACAGAAUUUGUUCCAACUAUAGAAAAAAAAAAAAAAAAAGGCAAAGGAUAUAAUGCUCUGGCGGUUUUUCCUUUAUUGAGAUACUAUAUUUCAGUCUUGUAAUAAAACUGACCUCUUAGGUCAAGGCUGGUGAAGGACAUUCCAGGAUAGACAAGGAUGGAUUUCAGGAGAGACCUAGAAUUUAAAUCCAUUUUAAAUUUGAAUUUAAAUCUACCCAAUCCAUUUUAAACUAAUUGUUUGCUGCUAUUUUGUUAAAGAUUAUUUCUGAAAGCUAUUGAGGAACACUGGGAAUCACUAGGAAUUCUAUCUAUCUCUGUGAUACUAUUUUAACUAUGCAUAGAAUAGUUUCUUAACACUUUAAAAAGAAUAGUUGAAGAAGUAAAAAAAAAAUAAUUGUUCAAAUGGGAUUUAACUAAACAGCUACAGACAUAUGCACUCCAUGAGAAGUAUUAGAAAAUUUUGUGCACGUGUGUAUAUGAAUGUGUAAGCAUGUGUGUGUGUAUUUGUUUUUGGUGGAAUGAUUGAAAAAGAAGCAUGCCAAAUAAAUAUGGUAUUUAUGUUGGUGACCUGUUUUUUUUUCUAUUUUAAAUUCCAAUGUAGUUAACAUACAGUGUUAUAUUAGUUUCUGGUGGACUGUUUGUUGAAAGGAUAAUGGCUGUGCACAUGUUUGGUAGAAAGGUGUCAACAUUUUUACUUGUGGUAAUAAGACCACAGAUUUGUGCAUUUCAAAAACAUGGCUUUUAUCAUUUUCUCAGGAUCCACAUGAAGGAAAAAAUUGGGAUCAUUCACCAGUCAUAAGCCAAGUGACUAUUCAUCUCAGUUCUGAAUAUAUCGGUUUUACAAAUUCUCUUUUACACAGGAAUGCUACCCAAGAGCAACCCUAACUUUUCCCCACCCACACACUUCCAGAAUUUCUUUUGAGAUCCAUAGAAAAGGGCCUUCUGUAUUUACAAAUAAACAAAUUUACAAUAUAUAUUGGAGAAACAAUUCAAGCAUAUAUUUUGAAAAUAGGGGGAAUAACAGUAAGCAAAGGUAAAUUAUAAAUCUAACUGGAAAUAGAUAUAUAUUUUAAAACCAGAGGAUCACACUAAACAGGUGCAUUUGGUAAGAGAGGGCAUGACAAUAUCAGAAGUUCAAAAGGAGAAUGGUAUUAAAAUUGUAAAUCAUUAAAGAUAACUUUUAUAAUUUGAACUUUUAAAUCUCAGAAUAUGUAGCAUAAAGGUGGGGAUGUGCAUUUAUGUGGAUUUCCCUUAAACCACCACACUGAACAUUUUUAGGCUGGCAUAAUAUAACUUUAUAAUUUAAAAUAAUUUGGUUUAUUUUUCUCCCUGUUUCAGAUCAAUGGAUCAACAUUACUGCAUUUAUUUUAAAUGGUGGCAUGGGGAGCUCAGGUGAUCUGUUAGCUGGUUCCAGAAAGAGUAUUAGACUUUGAGAGAAGCUAUGAAUAAAAACUCCAUUCUGUUGCCUCAGUGAUUAGCUAAGCCAUAUUGUAAUCUCAUGGUUUACUACAUGUGGGGCUGAGUGCUUACUGGUUAAAAAAAUGAGAGUGACUAAAAUGUCUUUAGACAAGAACUGAUUGGAGGGCACUUGUUGGGAUGAGCACAUUAUGUAAGUGCUGAAUCACUAAAUUCUACUCCUGAAACCAUUAUUACACUAUAUGUUAACUAACUUGGGUUUAAAUAAAAUGAAAAAAUAAUAAAAGAACUGAUAUUUUCAAACAUUGUGAUCUAAUAUCUACAAAGUGUUAGACAUCCAGGAGGUGGUAGUAGUGCGUAAUGAUUAAGAGUAUGGACACAACCCAGGCCGAGAAGAUUGAUUACCUUUCCAAAACAGGAGGGACCUAAGUGGUUCAGAUGUGGCAGAUACACGAAGGCAUCUAAACAAAUGAGAGACAUUUUUCACAGACUGAUAAUGUUAAAGUCAGCUGGAGGAGGCUACAUCUCCUCGAACCCUAGAUUGUCUCUUUGAUUCAUUGGAACAAUAUGACUAUUGUAAAAUAUGACAUCAUGGAGACAUUUUCUGAAAUCUGCAAGAGAGGGGUAAGGCAUGAUAACAGGAUUAGUCAGGCCAGAUUAGUCUCAUGUUGGCCUUACUGGAGUGACUGGUGCAAUUUAAUUCAAUAUUGUCAAAUGGUCAAUCUGAUUACACUUGAGUGUGUGUGUGUGUGUGUGUGUGUGUGUGUGUGUGUGUGUGUGUGUGUUGCAGGAGCAUUUGAAGGGAGAUGCUGGCCAAUGUAUUUAUGGGAAUUAGCUGGCAGGUAAAAGCAGUAAAGGAGAGGGUUAUAUGUGAUUGUAUGUGUGUUAGUUAUCUGUUGCUGUGUAACACAUUGCCACCAAAUUUAGAAGGUUAUAAACAACCUUAACCAUUUAGUAUCUAUCACCUUUUCUGUGGGCUAGAUGUAUGGGAACAACUUGACCAAACCGUUAUGGCUUGAAGAUUCUCAUGAGAUAGCAGUCAGAUGUCAGGUGAGACUACUGGGAUAUGAAGACUUGACUGAGGCUGGAACAUCCUCUACAAAGGUAACUAACUCCUAUGAUUGGCAAAUUGGAGCUGACUAUUGGUGGAAGUUCUCAAUUCCUCUCCCGGAGUGCCUUUCCAUGUGGCUGGUUGACUGUCCUUAUGAUAUGGUGGCUGGGUUCCACCAAAGUGAGCCAAUCAAAGAAACUGAAGCUUCAAUACCAUUGGUAGCCGAUUGUUGGAAGUCACACUGUCAUGUCUGCCUGUACUUUAGUUAUCACAUAAGCCAGCUCUGAUUUGUAUAGAAGGAGACUAAUAUAGAGCAUGAAUACAGAAAGUGAGGAUAAUCAGGGGACAUUUUGGAGGUUGGCUGUCACAAUCCAUUAAGAGAAAUUCCCUUUCCUUUUUCAAGUAAUUGGGAUAGAACAUGUUUUCACUAGGAAGUCCUUGUGAAUACUUGUCAUCAGACUGUGAUGUUGAAUCACGAUAUUUAUUAUAUGCAGGAGUACUGACAGAAAGUAGAAGUACAUUGGAAUUACCCUGUGGAGUAAUUAUGGUAGAAUUGCUAUCAAAUAGUGGUAAGAGAGAGAAAAAAAUCUGUCCCCCAGUCAGAUUAUCACAUUAAAAGAACAAACUGAACACAAGCAAACAAAGCAAAAAAACAUAAUGACUCUGGAAUGGCUAAAAAAACAAAACAAAACUGGGCUAACUUUUUGUAUUAGAGACCAAUCUGAAAAACCUGUCCUUUUUUGAAAAAUAUAUAUUUUCUACCUCAAAAGAGAAAGGAAGAAGCAUAUAGUCUGCGAACAUUCAAGAACAUGACACAAGUAGAUUGCCAAGAGGCUCUCUUCUGUUUUCUGCCAAGUAUCUCAAUGAUUGAACUGUACUCCUCAUUUGAGUUUACUGUAUUAUUGAAACUGUCAUGUUGUGUUAAGUGGAACCAUUUGUUUCUCCACACUGGCUGAUGAGUGUUUUAGGUUGGCAUUGUACUUGGCUGGCCUAUAUUCCAGUGUAUGAUGACUAAUUAGCCUGAACUUGGGUGACAGAGUUAGGAAGGGAGUAGUGAGUGGUUAGCGAGAUGUCAAUCCACUAUUGCCAACUCCUACCUCAAAAUUUCUUGUUCUAGGUCUCCAUUUAUCAUCCAUGUCAACUUUUCUGCUCGUUGGCUCCUGCUUGACAUCUAAAUCACAAUUUGGGUGACCAAAGGCAUUCUGAUACAUAAACAUUCCUUUGACCAAGUUGAGUAUGUAAUAAAAAUAAGUCCCAUAAGGGAUUCUAGCCACUGUGAUUGAUUGGAAACUAUUCUAGGGCUGUAAAACUAGUGGCAUUCAAAAUAAUUUUUAAUAUGGGAGGACUUCAGAAAUGUUGUAAGAGAACUCUGCAAAUUCAAGUUGUAUUGAUUUAUGGGUGAAUAACAAACCCAAGCACCAUAGUAUUUUCUUCCUCUCUAGAUCUGUGCUGUAAUGAUAUCCAAGUUUCAAAAUAUUACUUGUCUUGUAAUCUACCCAGAUUCUUGGCAUUUUAGCGGCUGUGGCCUAGAUUCGCAUUGCCCAUCCUAAUAUCCAUCUCCUCUUCAAAGAACUCUAAGGCACGUGAUUGUCUGGAAUAAGGACAACAUUUGCAGUUAGAUAUGGUCAUAUGCCUAAAGGUCUAGCCAAAGGCAUAUAAAUGGAAAUGCAUGACAGUUUCUGGGAAACUUCUGUAAGAUAGAUUAUAGGUGUGCUUUAAACCUGCUUCCCCCUUACUUGCUUCCUUCUGUUUAGAACUCAGAUGUGAUGGUUGGAGCACCAUGUUGGACCAAGUAUAAGUAAUCAUGAAAUGGAACUGAAGGCAGUCCAAGUCCCAGGUGAUGAGGAAGCCACCAUAUCAGCUCUUGCUUGCCUAUCCUGGAUGUCACGUGAGAAGGAAAUUUCUAUUUGGUGAAGGUUCGCAAGAGAGCAGCCGCUUGGGAAUCCUGAUGCCGAGAGUGAUAAUAAUGCCUAUUAGAAGUCACACCAGUGUUGAGAAAAGUUACAAACUUUUAGAAUGUUUCCAAAAAUUAUUCACAACAUUCUUGAGGUUACAGAACUACUUACCAUUUCUGGCUGUCCUUGGAGAAGAGACCCAGGAUGAUUCAGCCAAGCCGCAGGCAGACACGGUUUCAUAGAGUCUUUGCUGGUGUUAAAGGGAAGCCCUGACUCCAGGCCUUUUCCAUAGGGAUGUGAUUUGCUUUUAAGAGCCAGACAGAUGCUACAAAUCUUUCUUCCCAAGAAAAAAACAUUCUGAGAUUCCUCUCAACAAUUGAACACACCCAAGCUAGGCUGCUGGAGGAAUGUAAGGGACAUGUAGACAGAAUCAGCCACUGACAGCCAGUCAACCCGACAUGCAGGGGAUGUGGGAGGGGGUGUGGACUUUGGGAGGUGGUAGUACCUUUACAAAGAAGGCUCCAGAGAAACACCUUGCCCCUUCUAACAUGCAAGGGCACAGCAAGAAAGCACUGACGAUCAACCAGGAAGAUGGCCCUCAUCAGAAUCUGACCAUGCUGGAGCCUUCAUCUUGGACUUCUCAGCCUGCAGAAUGGUGAAAAAUAAGUUUUUGUGUUUUAUAAGCCACCCAGUCUAUGGUAUUUUGUUAUAGCAGCCCAAAUGGACUAAAAUAUGUGCACUCUUGAAACUAUCACCAAAAUCAAGACAAUGAACAAAUUCAUCACUCCAAAAAAAUAUCCUCAUGCUGUUUGUAAUAUCUCUCACUGGACUCAUCCCUGUCCCUCUAAAGUUUCUGGACAACAGUGAUCUGCUUUCUGUCCCUAUAGGUUAGUUUGCAUUUCUUACAAUUUUAUAUCAGUGGACUAAUACAGUAUGUACUCUUUUUUGUCUUUUACUCAGCAUUAUUAUUUUGAGAUUCCUCCAUAUGGUAGUGUGUAUCACUAGUUUAUUUUUUUAUUGCUGUGUAAUAUUCACUUACAUGGAUAUACUACUUUUGUUUAUCCAUUAACCUAUUGAUGGCAUUUGGGUGGCUUCUAGUUUUUAGCUACUAUAAUAAAGCUGCUACAAAUAUUUA